UACGGAGGGUGCAAGCGUUAUCCGGAUUCACUGGGUUUAAAGGGUGCGUAGGAGGGCAGGGAAGUCAGUGGUGAAAUCUCCGAGCUUAACUCGGAAACUGCCGUUGAUACUCUCUGUCUUGAAUACCGUGGAGGUGAGCGGAAUAUGUCAUGUAGCGGUGAAAUGCUUAGAUAUGACAUAGAACACCAAUUGCGAAGGCAGCUCACUACGCGAAUAUUGACACUGAGGCGCGAAAGCGUGGGGAUCAAACAGG
This 253-nucleotide ribosomal RNA is filed under the name uncultured bacterium. RNAcentral describes it as "partial 16S ribosomal RNA". It matches the Rfam family "Bacterial small subunit ribosomal RNA", at positions 524 to 776 of the family's 1533-position model. The record is from RNAcentral.